GACGAACGCUGGCGGCGUGCUUAACACAUGCAAGUCGAGCGGUAAGGCCCUUUCGGGGGUACGACGAGCGGCGAACGGGUGAGUAACACGUGGGUGACCUGCCCUCAGCUCUGGGAUAAGCCUGGGAAACCGGGUCUAAUACUGGAUAUGACUCCAUGACGCAUGUUGUGGGGUGGAAAGCCUUGUGCGGCUGAGGAUGGGCCCGCGGCCUAUCAGCUUGUUGGUGGGGUGANGGCCUACCAAGGCGACGACGGGUAGCCGGCC
This 264-nucleotide ribosomal RNA is filed under the name uncultured bacterium. RNAcentral describes it as "partial 16S ribosomal RNA". It matches the Rfam family "Bacterial small subunit ribosomal RNA", at positions 28 to 292 of the family's 1533-position model. The record is from RNAcentral.